GUAGUGGCAAGCGUUGUCCGGAAUUAUUGGGCGUAAAGCGCGCGCAGGUGGUCUUUAAGUCUGAUGUGAAAGCCCCCGGGCUCAACCGGGGAGGGUCAUUGGAAACUGGGGAACUUGAGUGCAGGAGAGGAAAGUGGAAUUCCACGUGUAGCGGUGAAAUGCGUAGAUAUGUGGAGGAACACCAGUGGCGAAGGCGACUUUCUGGCCUGUAACUGACACUGAGGCGCGAAAGCGUGGGGAGCAAACAGGAUUAGAUACCCUGGUAGUCCACGCCGUAAACGAUGAGUGCUAAGUGUUGGGGGGUUUCCGCCCCUCAGUGCUGCAGCUAACGCAUUAAGCACUCCGCCUGGGGAGUACGGUCGCAAAGACUG
Molecule: ribosomal RNA, 371 nt
Filed under: uncultured organism
Description: partial 16S ribosomal RNA
Rfam family: Bacterial small subunit ribosomal RNA
Source: RNAcentral